Molecule: unclassified non-coding RNA, 200 nt
Filed under: soil metagenome
Description: partial contains internal transcribed spacer 2 and large subunit ribosomal RNA
Source: RNAcentral
GGCUUUUGCUGCCGCGAGGCGGCUCCCCUUAAAAUCAUCGGUUUGGCCCGUACCUUGCGGCUAGCACCUUUGGCGUUGUAUUUUCCUCGCCUUCGAUCGGUCUUGCUCGCUUCCGCGCCUCACCUCGACUUGCCCUUUGGGUGGCGGUCACUUCUUGACAAUCUGGCCUCAAAUCAGGUAGGACUACCCGCUGAACUUAA